GGGUUGUGAGGUUAAGCGACUAAGCGUACACGGUGGAUGCCCUGGCAGUCAGAGGCGAUGAAGGACGUGCUAAUCUGCGAUAAGCGUCGGUAAGGUGAUAUGAACCGUUAUAACCGGCGAUUUCCGAAUGGGGAAACCCAGUGUGUUUCGACACACUAUCAUUAACUGAAUCCAUAGGUUAAUGAGGCGAACCGGGGGAACUGAAACAUCUAAGUACCCCGAGGAAAAGAAAUCAACCGAGAUUCCCCCAGUAGCGGCGAGCGAACGGGGAGCAGCCCAGAGCCUGAAUCAGUGUGUGUGUUAGUGGAAGCGUCUGGAAAGGCGCGCGAUACAGGGUGACAGCCCCGUACACAAAAAUACACAUACUGUGAGCUCGAUGAGUAGGGCGGGACACGUGGUAUCCUGUCUGAAUAUGGGGGGACCAUCCUCCAAGGCUAAAUACUCCUGACUGACCGAUAGUGAACCAGUACCGUGAGGGAAAGGCGAAAAGAACCCCGGCGAGGGGAGUGAAAAAGAACCUGAAACCGUGUACGUACAAGCAGUGGGAGCACGCUUAGGCGUGUGACUGCGUACCUUUUGUAUAAUGGGUCAGCGACUUAUAUUCUGUAGCAAGGUUAACCGAAUAGGGGAGCCGAAGGGAAACCGAGUCUUAACUGGGCGUUAAGUUGCAGGGUAUAGACCCGAAACCCGGUGAUCUAGCCAUGGGCAGGUUGAAGGUUGGGUAACACUAACUGGAGGACCGAACCGACUAAUGUUGAAAAAUUAGCGGAUGACUUGUGGCUGGGGGUGAAAGGCCAAUCAAACCGGGAGAUAGCUGGUUCUCCCCGAAAGCUAUUUAGGUAGCGCCUCGUGAAUUCAUCUCCGGGGGUAGAGCACUGUUUCGGCAAGGGGGUCAUCCCGACUUACCAACCCGAUGCAAACUGCGAAUACCGGAGAAUGUUAUCACGGGAGACACACGGCGGGUGCUAACGUCCGUCGUGAAGAGGGAAACAACCCAGACCGCCAGCUAAGGUCCCAAAGUCAUGGUUAAGUGGGAAACGAUGUGGGAAGGCCCAGACAGCCAGGAUGUUGGCUUAGAAGCAGCCAUCAUUUAAAGAAAGCGUAAUAGCUCACUGGUCGAGUCGGCCUGCGCGGAAGAUGUAACGGGGCUAAACCAUGCACCGAAGCUGCGGCAGCGACACUGUGUGUUGUUGGGUAGGGGAGCGUUCUGUAAGCCUGCGAAGGUGUGCUGUGAGGCAUGCUGGAGGUAUCAGAAGUGCGAAUGCUGACAUAAGUAACGAUAAAGCGGGUGAAAAGCCCGCUCGCCGGAAGACCAAGGGUUCCUGUCCAACGUUAAUCGGGGCAGGGUGAGUCGACCCCUAAGGCGAGGCCGAAAGGCGUAGUCGAUGGGAAACAGGUUAAUAUUCCUGUACUUGGUGUUACUGCGAAGGGGGGACGGAGAAGGCUAUGUUGGCCGGGCGACGGUUGUCCCGGUUUAAGCGUGUAGGCUGGUUUUCUAGGCAAAUCCGGAAAAUCAAGGCUGAGGCGUGAUGACGAGGCACUACGGUGCUGAAGCAACAAAUGCCCUGCUUCCAGGAAAAGCCUCUAAGCAUCAGGUAACAUCAAAUCGUACCCCAAACCGACACAGGUGGUCAGGUAGAGAAUACCAAGGCGCUUGAGAGAACUCGGGUGAAGGAACUAGGCAAAAUGGUGCCGUAACUUCGGGAGAAGGCACGCUGAUAUGUAGGUGAAGUCCCUCGCGGAUGGAGCUGAAAUCAGUCGAAGAUACCAGCUGGCUGCAACUGUUUAUUAAAAACACAGCACUGUGCAAACACGAAAGUGGACGUAUACGGUGUGACGCCUGCCCGGUGCCGGAAGGUUAAUUGAUGGGGUUAGCGCAAGCGAAGCUCUUGAUCGAAGCCCCGGUAAACGGCGGCCGUAACUAUAACGGUCCUAAGGUAGCGAAAUUCCUUGUCGGGUAAGUUCCGACCUGCACGAAUGGCGUAAUGAUGGCCAGGCUGUCUCCACCCGAGACUCAGUGAAAUUGAACUCGCUGUGAAGAUGCAGUGUACCCGCGGCAAGACGGAAAGACCCCGUGAACCUUUACUAUAGCUUGACACUGAACAUUGAGCCUUGAUGUGUAGGAUAGGUGGGAGGCUUUGAAGUGUGGACGCCAGUCUGCAUGGAGCCGACCUUGAAAUACCACCCUUUAAUGUUUGAUGUUCUAACGUUGACCCGUGAUCCGGGUUGCGGACAGUGUCUGGUGGGUAGUUUGACUGGGGCGGUCUCCUCCUAAAGAGUAACGGAGGAGCACGAAGGUUGGCUAAUCCUGGUCGGACAUCAGGAGGUUAGUGCAAUGGCAUAAGCCAGCUUGACUGCGAGCGUGACGGCGCGAGCAGGUGCGAAAGCAGGUCAUAGUGAUCCGGUGGUUCUGAAUGGAAGGGCCAUCGCUCAACGGAUAAAAGGUACUCCGGGGAUAACAGGCUGAUACCGCCCAAGAGUUCAUAUCGACGGCGGUGUUUGGCACCUCGAUGUCGGCUCAUCACAUCCUGGGGCUGAAGUAGGUCCCAAGGGUAUGGCUGUUCGCCAUUUAAAGUGGUACGCGAGCUGGGUUUAGAACGUCGUGAGACAGUUCGGUCCCUAUCUGCCGUGGGCGCUGGAGAACUGAGGGGGGCUGCUCCUAGUACGAGAGGACCGGAGUGGACGCAUCACUGGUGUUCGGGUUGUCAUGCCAAUGGCACUGCCCGGUAGCUAAAUGCGGAAGAGAUAAGUGCUGAAAGCAUCUAAGCACGAAACUUGCCCCGAGAUGAGUUCUCCCUGACUCCUUGAGAGUCCUGAAGGAACGUUGAAGACGACGACGUUGAUAGGCCGGGUGUGUAAGCGCAGCGAUGCGUUGAGCUAACCGGUACUAAUGAACCGUGAGGCUUAACCUUACAACGCCGAAGCUGUU
This 2929-nucleotide ribosomal RNA is filed under the name Escherichia coli. RNAcentral describes it as "bacterial LSU rRNA". It matches the Rfam family "Bacterial large subunit ribosomal RNA". The record is from RNAcentral. Lineage: Bacteria; Pseudomonadati; Pseudomonadota; Gammaproteobacteria; Enterobacterales; Enterobacteriaceae.